UUAGGAUUGUUUCAAUAAAAUGUUAACACUAUGGAUCAUUAAGGAUAAUUGGAAGAUGUAGUAGUUGUAUGUGGAUUGGAAUUGUUGUUGAGAGUUAUGAAUGUGGGCUGACUUAACUUACCAAUAAGGUUAUAAUGAAGAUAUUAACUUGUAUUAAAUGGACUUGGAAGCAAGAAAAUCCCAUGAUUAGUGUUGGUAUUAAAAUGGACAGAUUUGAAGUAUUUUUGAAUAUCGUCUUGGCUUGUCUUGACAUGGCAUUUGAAGGUGUGAUUAUUGAUGUUGCUUGGAGAUUUUAUGACUGAUUUGAAAGUGGAAAAAAAGUGAGCAAUAUAAGGGAGUUGCUGUCCAGAAUUUUGUGUUUUGCAAACCCGUUUUUGGAUGGGACUGCUGUUAGUAAAUUUAGCAUAACUCCUUGUGUAAAGCUCCGUUUUGGUUGAUUAAAGAUGUUUUGGAAAGCUAUUUGAUAGAGCUAAAACUUUCAUUUAGACUCUAAAACCCAGUUUUACUUUUAUAUACUCGAAAAAGGGUGAUGAAGUUAAGGGGAGGUGUUGUCCAAUUUUUUUUGUUUUUGUUCGAAAUAAUCUACUAACGAUAAAAACGUUUUAUGCCUUUCCAUAUCUUAACCAUAACGCUUAACGUAUUAAUAUAGGUAUGAGGCAGCAUAUACAUGUUGUGUAUGGAUAAACACUAAAGGUAUCGAAGUUCGAUUUGCUGAUCCACCUGUUUAGGAUAUUUGCUGCGUCGUUGACAAUGCUCCCUUGUUCGGAGUUUGUAUUUUGGUACUGACUUUAUCUCUGUAUAUUUGGAUAUUUUGGUCAGGGGUACGACGGGGCCCUGUCCUGUCAUAUGACUAUGCUAUCAUCUGUAGAGGUCUGUAGACAGAGUUAUGUUG
Long non-coding RNA from Solanum dulcamara, 892 nucleotides. RefSeq lists it as uncharacterized. The transcript has 2 exons. The record is from RefSeq and is a predicted model, not a curated record. Lineage: Eukaryota; Viridiplantae; Streptophyta; Magnoliopsida; Solanales; Solanaceae.